UUUUUACUGGCUCAGAGGUUAAAGCAUCUGCCUGCAAUGCGGGAGACCUGGGUUUGAUUCCUGGGUUGGGAA
Molecule: transfer RNA, 72 nt
Filed under: Ovis aries (sheep)
Lineage: Eukaryota; Metazoa; Chordata; Mammalia; Artiodactyla; Bovidae
Rfam family: tRNA
About the family: Transfer RNA (tRNA) molecules are approximately 80 nucleotides in length. Their secondary structure includes four short double-helical elements and three loops (D, anti-codon, and T loops). Further hydrogen bonds mediate the characteristic L-shaped molecular structure. tRNAs have two regions of fundamental functional importance: the anti-codon, which is responsible for specific mRNA codon recognition, and the 3' end, to which the tRNAs corresponding amino acid is attached (by aminoacyl-tRNA synthetases). tRNAs cope with the degeneracy of the genetic code in two manners: having more than one tRNA (with a specific anti-codon) for a particular amino acid; and 'wobble' base-pairing, i.e. permitting non-standard base-pairing at the 3rd anti-codon position.
Source: Rfam by way of RNAcentral